RNAcentral lists this ribosomal RNA (856 nucleotides) under Arthrobacter oryzae. Its description in RNAcentral is "bacterial SSU rRNA". It matches the Rfam family "Bacterial small subunit ribosomal RNA", at positions 56 to 923 of the family's 1533-position model. The record is from RNAcentral. Lineage: Bacteria; Bacillati; Actinomycetota; Actinomycetes; Micrococcales; Micrococcaceae.
UGCAGUCGCACGAUGACCUCCAGCUUGCUGGGGUGAUUAGUGGCGAACGGGUGAGUAACACGUGAGUAACCUGCCCUUAACUCUGGGAUAAGCCUGGGAAACUGGGUCUAAUACCGGAUAUGACUCCUCAUCGCAUGGUGGGGGGUGGAAAGCUUUUUGUGGUUUUGGAUGGACUCGCGGCCUAUCAGCUUGUUGGUGAGGUAAUGGCUCACCAAGGCGACGACGGGUAGCCGGCCUGAGAGGGUGACCGGCCACACUGGGACUGAGACACGGCCCAGACUCCUACGGGAGGCAGCAGUGGGGAAUAUUGCACAAUGGGCGAAAGCCUGAUGCAGCGACGCCGCGUGAGGGAUGACGGCCUUCGGGUUGUAAACCUCUUUCAGUAGGGAAGAAGCGAAAGUGACGGUACCUGCAGAAGAAGCGCCGGCUAACUACGUGCCAGCAGCCGCGGUAAUACGUAGGGCGCAAGCGUUAUCCGGAAUUAUUGGGCGUAAAGAGCUCGUAGGCGGUUUGUCGCGUCUGCCGUGAAAGUCCGGGGCUCAACUCCGGAUCUGCGGUGGGUACGGGCAGACUAGAGUGAUGUAGGGGAGACUGGAAUUCCUGGUGUACCGGUGAAAUGCGCAGAUAUCAGGAGGAACACCGAUGGCGAAGGCAGGUCUCUGGGCAUUAACUGACGCUGAGGAGCGAAAGCAUGGGGAGCGAACAGGAUUAGAUACCCUGGUAGUCCAUGCCGUAAACGUUGGGCACUAGGUGUGGGGGACAUUCCACGUUUUCCGCGCCGUAGCUAACGCAUUAAGUGCCCCGCCUGGGGAGUACGGCCGCAAGGCUAAAACUCAAAGGAAUUGACGGGGGCCCG